GUGGAGAGAAGCAGGAACAAGGGGAGAGCUCAAAAGAUAUAUGUUUAAAAGUCAUAACUAAAUGUUGAUAUCAACUGAUGGUUUCGUACUGGUUGCUGUUGUUUGAGUGUGUUCGUUGGGCAGUCGAAAAAUCUUAUGUUUCUCCAUGUGCAAGAGCUGGGUGAGAUUGAAGAAGCCACCGUGACAGAGAUUGAGCAGGGGAGAAGCGAGACACGUGAGUGUGCACGUGAGAUAUUAGCCACGUGAUGAGUGUUCCAGUGCGGUGCAAGCGGUUCACAGACCAGUUCCCACCUCCUCCUUGCUCACCUUACCCCAUUACAUUGGUGCCGAAACCUGGGAGGGAGGAAGGAUGUGCUGCCGUGGAUUCCUCACCACUGCUGGUGGAACGGAGGAGUCACUGCCGUCCGCUAGGGGUCAGAGGACUCGCUGCCAUUCACCCAGGGAGGAGCGGCUGUCGUACGCCAGAGGACGGAGGAGUGGCUGAGGACCAGGCAAUGGCGUGUCCAGGGACCGGUGAGCAAGUUUUUCUCUCUCUGUGUGUGCCUCCCGCUCACCCUUUCCCUCUCCCCUCUCUCUCCCCUCGUCUCUCCCCAGGUUCCCAGGAGGUGGGGUGGACCAUUGGCUGGCAGAACGGCCGGAAGUGAAUCGGGCAGGGGAGGAGUGUGACGAGGAGGAGGGCAUGACUGGGCCAUGAGGGUGCACGGUCAGCGCUGAGUCACCUAAUCAACGGGAGAGAGAGAUAAAGGGGAGCCGGAGAUGCCAGUUCGGGAGAGAGAAAGACACAUGCGACCGCUGUGUGUGUGCAUCUAUGUGUUUUAUGUUGUUUUAAGUUGAGUUUAUGUCAUUAAAGUUUACGCUGACUGUU
Myxocyprinus asiaticus (Chinese sucker) is the source of this 865-nucleotide long non-coding RNA. RefSeq lists it as uncharacterized. The record is from RefSeq and is a predicted model, not a curated record. NCBI's taxonomy places the organism in Eukaryota, Metazoa, Chordata, Actinopteri, Cypriniformes, Catostomidae. The transcript is spliced from 3 exons.